CAGGGAAGCCAAGCAGGAACAGUUGGAGCAUGGGGCUGCUGCUUUGAAGGAAUGGCAAGAGACCGCUCAAGUCCUGAGUGCUGCACUGAGCAAGAGUGAAAUUUCCAAAGGGGCUCUGAAGAAAGACUUGGACAUCCUGAAGGAAAGGCUUCGUCUCCAGCAGGCUGUUGGAGCAGAAGGGAAGCGGCUGUCAGAGCGCUCCAGGAAGGGUGUGGAAUGUGUGCGGGACCAGGUUGCAGCAGCAGCAAAAGACAAGCCAGAGAAGCGUGAGCUCAGGAGAACUUUUGAGGUGGAACCUGAAGGGAGGAGAAUCAGAACUUUUAGGAGAGUGUUCACCCCAGACUACUUUACAUUGCCUGUCUCCCAGUCUGACCAGCAAAAUGCAUCAACCUCUGAAAGACAAGAGUCCUCCAGUAGCUCAGGGGAGCUGCAGCCCUCGUGCUGAGGCACAGCCCGUGGAGAAAGGGGUGUCCUUGCUGCAGUCACAGCUGGCCCGAGACCGGCAGGACAACCUGGAGAGCUGUGCAGGGAGCAGGCAGGAGAUGCUCCCGUUGAGUCACAAGGACCUCCUUACUUCCUAGGCUUGUCAGAGAGGAGCCAGGGUGCAGCUGGAUGCAGUCGUAGCCUCAGAUUUUGUCCAUAGUUUAUGUUUAAAGGAUUGCAGGUGUAACUGUAGGAUUGUAGGAUAAUAGGUGUAGUCGUUGCAGCAGUCGUAGCCUCAGAUUUUGUCCAUAGGUUAUGUUUAAAGGAUUGCAGGUGUAACUGUAGGAUUGUAGGAUAAUAGGUGUAAUUGAACCUUUCUAUAACUGUGUUCCAGAGGAUGAAGGAUAUAUUUAUAGAAAAAUAAAGUGUUUAUUAUGAUCAUGAUUAAAUGAAAAGAUCUUUAUCAGAGUUCUUGACUACCCAGUACAGAGAACUAUAACUUCCACUAUAGUGCAUUACAUUUGAAGCAACAUGGAAGCAGUUAUAUUCAAGCCAGCAAAACCUAUUAUUAAUUAAAGAUUGAUGCUUCUCACCCAAACCAAUGGCCGUGGGCAAAUAUUUCUGUCAGCCUCAAGGAGUGACCUUGAGGGGCAUCCUCACUCCAGGGAGGAAUCUGCAGAUGGGAGACACGUGACAUGAACCACUUUGGUGAGGGCAGGAGA
This is a long non-coding RNA of Corvus hawaiiensis (hawaiian crow), 1145 nucleotides long. RefSeq lists it as uncharacterized. The record is from RefSeq and is a predicted model, not a curated record. The transcript is spliced from 4 exons. Lineage: Eukaryota; Metazoa; Chordata; Aves; Passeriformes; Corvidae.